UACAGAGGGUGCGAGCGUUAAUCGGAAUUACUGGGCGUAAAGCGCGCGUAGGCGGCUUUGCAAGUCGGGUGUGAAAUCCCCAGGCUUAACCUGGGAACUGCAUUCGAGACUGCAUUGCUAGAGUAUGGGAGAGGGAAGUGGAAUUUCCGGUGUAGUGGUGAAAUGCGUAGAUAUCGGAAGGAACAUCAGUGGCGAAAGCGACUUCCUGGACCAAUACUGACGCUCAUGUGCGAAAGCGUGGGGAGCAAACAGG
This 253-nucleotide ribosomal RNA is filed under the name uncultured bacterium. Its description in RNAcentral is "partial 16S ribosomal RNA". It matches the Rfam family "Bacterial small subunit ribosomal RNA", at positions 524 to 776 of the family's 1533-position model. The record is from RNAcentral.